Molecule: unclassified non-coding RNA, 685 nt
Filed under: uncultured Prochlorococcus sp.
Lineage: Bacteria; Bacillati; Cyanobacteriota; Cyanophyceae; Synechococcales; Prochlorococcaceae
Description: partial may contain 16S ribosomal RNA, 16S-23S ribosomal RNA intergenic spacer, and 23S ribosomal RNA
Rfam family: Bacterial small subunit ribosomal RNA (bases 1-99)
Source: RNAcentral
UAACCCUUGUGGAGGAGGACGCCGAAGGUGGGGCUAAUGACUGGGGUGAAGUCGUAACAAGGUAGCCGUACCGGAAGGUGCGGCUGGAUCACCUCCUAACAGGGAGACAACAAAAUGUUUAAUAUUAUUAUUUUGUCACCUUAGGUCGAUCGGUAUCUCACGUUUUUAAUUUAUUAAGAAUUUCAUUUCCUAAGUUUUUCUAGGUCACACCCAUUAUUUUUCCUGGGCCAUUAGCUCAGGUGGUUAGAGCGCACCCCUGAUAAGGGUGAGGUCCCUGGUUCAAGUCCAGGAUGGCCCAUAUCUCUAUGUUGGGGGUAUAGCUCAGUUGGUAGAGCGCCUGCUUUGCAAGCAGGAUGUCAGCGGUUCGAGUCCGCUUACCUCCACUGAUCACCACCUCUUCCAUAAUCAGAAGAAAGGAAAUUUUUUGAGUUGUGAUCAAAUUCUGAAAGAAUCUAGCUUCCUAAUGAAAUCAUUAAGAUGCUGGACUCAUUGAAUUAUUUUCAUUGUUUUCAGAGAACCUUGACAACUGCAUAGAUUAUUUUUAAAGACAAUAAGCAUCUUUAAUGAUGCAGAUUUAUUAUUUGUGCAAAUGCAUUAAUAACAAUUCUAUUAAGCUGAUGCUUCAAUUUUUGAAGUUAUUGGUCAAGCUACAAAGGGCUCACGGAGGAUACCUAGGCACACAGAG